AAUGAACAUUGGGCGGCGUACGUGGGGCUAUGCACAAUUCUGGAAUAUAUUCCACGACAAGAACCUUGAUGAUUGGAUCAUGCAGAUUGAUCCAAUGAUCGAUGAUGGAGAGGAUGCUAAAUUAUAUAUGCGACUAGCCAUACGAAUCUUAAUGCACAUUGUCAAUCUCAUUGCCUAUAUAUAGUCCUUCAUAUCCACUGCCAUUUUACCUAUUCAAUUCCCAGAAAAAGAAAAAGAAAAUCUAGAUAGUAUAUAUAAAUAUGUAGCUGAUACAAGUUAUAAAGUUUUGUAUAUAUCUAUAUCGAACGAGAAAGAAGAAAGGUCCUACAUGAGGAUAAAGCGCCUUGUUUCGUAGCCAAGGAUGACUUGCCUGUAGCCUCAAGAGGAGUCUUUUACAAAUCAAAGCAAAAUUUAAAGUGGUGGUCCAUAUAUAGAAAUCAUACAUUCUUUAUAUAUUAGAAAAAUGGCAUUAAUUCUAUUCUAUAUAGAUUUGUACGUAUGUAUAGUUUUGACAUUUAGGCUUAAGAAAGACUCCUUAUCCGGUAUUCAGGCAGUCUCCUUGGCUAACAAGACAGGCUCUUAUCUCUCAUGCUGGACCUCUAUCUUCUUCUUCAACUAGCGCGCUCUCCGCAGCUGCUCAACCUAUAGUUUUCUUUGGAUUAUUAGCUUCUCAGAGAAAUUCAUAACAAAGGAGGGUAAUUCAGAUGGCUCAUACCCUUCGGUGAAAUUGUGCAAAAGAAUCAACAUUAUGGUCCAGAUUGGUAAUCGAACUUAAAUACCUACGAAUGUCUUGACUAGCAGAGGAAUUAUGUUAUUGUGAUGCAGGGUAAUUCAGAUGGCUCAUACACUUCGGAGAAAAUUGUGCAAAAGAAUCAACAUUAUGGUCCAGAUUGGUAAUCGAACUUGCCCAAGAUUAUGUUUAAAAAAGGAAGAGAAAACAAAAAUUUUUUCCUCAUAAAAAUAAUUAUAUUAUGUUAGACGAAAAAUAUACAUGAAUAUAAGAAAAAAGCACACAUUUAGCAAAGUGCACGGAGACAUUUCAUUAGAGCAGGAGAGUAUUUUGAUAAUUUGAUCAUAAGAAUACCCGAACAAUAAACAUGUCAUAUACAUGAAUAUAGUUCUUUACAGUAAUUUAAAAUAUAUAUAUAUAUAUAUAUAUAUACCAGCAAUCUUAUGGAUC
Molecule: long non-coding RNA, 1180 nt
Organism: Ziziphus jujuba (common jujube)
Lineage: Eukaryota; Viridiplantae; Streptophyta; Magnoliopsida; Rosales; Rhamnaceae
Exons: 2
Source: RefSeq, a predicted model, not a curated record